AGAGUUUGAUCCUGGCUCAGGACGAACGCUGGCGGCGUGCUUAACACAUGCAAGUCGAGCGGAAAGGCCCUUCGGGGUACUCGAGCGGCGAACGGGUGAGUAACACGUGAGCAACCUGCCCUAGGCUUUGGGAUAACCCUCGGAAACGGGGGCUAAUACCGAAUAGGACCUCCUGUCGCAUGGUGGGGGGUGGAAAGUUU
Molecule: ribosomal RNA, 200 nt
Filed under: uncultured bacterium
Lineage: Bacteria
Description: partial 16S ribosomal RNA
Rfam family: Bacterial small subunit ribosomal RNA
Source: RNAcentral